This 821-nucleotide long non-coding RNA is filed under the name Coturnix japonica (Japanese quail). Its description in RNAcentral is "lncRNA (ENSCJPG00005019615.1)". Lineage: Eukaryota; Metazoa; Chordata; Aves; Galliformes; Phasianidae. The record is from RNAcentral.
AUGGUCAGUAACCAGCUGGUGAAAUACAAUGAUUCAGAGAAGGAAGCAACACACACGAGUCUGUGCUUAUCUUUUUCAGAGCAGCUGAUCCUACUGGGUCAGACACAGUGUUCCGUGAUCACAACUACACUGCCUCCAGGGUCAGCACUAGAAGAGGUGAAAACAGAUGGACCUUGGCCACACCAGCAAGACAAGUUUGCUAAUUUCUGUCAGAUGCAUGUGAGUAUUCAGCCAUUUAAGCAAACUACUCUGUAUGCAGAACCUACAUAGACAAAAGAUGCCAAGAUCAAGAACAGAAAGUGUAACCUUCUAUUUCUUUUUAUGUUUUCCUUCUUUGUCUUAGGGAGCACUGCUAUCUUGUUAUGCCACCCCAUGGAAGCGUAAGGAAUGGAUUCAUGUGUUUGUGGAAAAUAGUUGUGUUAGUAGGUAGGGAAAGAUGAAAAUGAGAUCCCAGAUUGGUAUUUUAUGUUAGUAAGCAUUGUUAAAGUUACAGAUGUGGUUGUUCAGUGUUUGUUUUUGUUGUUGUGUUGUUCUUUUUUAAGUAACUAUUUUAUGUAGAGACCUCUUGCUGUAGACAAUUCAGUUUUAUUUCCAUUGUUUAGUUUUUAUGUUAUUAUUUACAAUAGGGAGUGUAAGAAGAGCAAAACGUUACUUCAGCACCUAAGACAUUUAAGGAAGAGUGAAAGCAAUAACAGUGUUGUUCAGAAAAAGCCUAUUUGGUCUCUGUUCUUCCUUAAUACCCAGAAGAAAAGCAGCCGUGACAAUUUAAUGGAUUUUACUGUCAGAAUAAAAUUCCUAUUAAUAUGAGAAAACUGGGAACA